GGGGGACAAGGUUCUGAGGGAACCUCUGGAGACAAAGGAGAUGUUGGUGACCAAGGAGAAGCUGGACCCAAAGGAGUGGUUGGAAACCCAGGAGAGCCUGGUAACAGAGGGCCAGAGGGUAGCAGAGGGCAGCCUGGCAUCGAGG
This is a long non-coding RNA of Oncorhynchus gorbuscha (pink salmon), 145 nucleotides long. RefSeq lists it as uncharacterized. The transcript has 3 exons. NCBI's taxonomy places the organism in Eukaryota, Metazoa, Chordata, Actinopteri, Salmoniformes, Salmonidae. The record is from RefSeq and is a predicted model, not a curated record.